This is a long non-coding RNA of Sciurus carolinensis (gray squirrel), 2299 nucleotides long. RefSeq lists it as uncharacterized. The record is from RefSeq and is a predicted model, not a curated record. The transcript is spliced from 3 exons. NCBI's taxonomy places the organism in Eukaryota, Metazoa, Chordata, Mammalia, Rodentia, Sciuridae.
AAAACAGUGUCCGAUUUUUCCUCAAGAAAUGUGGAUUGAACUAAAAUUCGUCCUUCCCUCUAAGAAGACAGAAGUUUCUCGUUCAAGGGAGCUCAUCAGGACUUGUGGGAAGAGUGGAAUUGGGUGGGAAUCAGGAUAUCUGGGCAGGUUCCAGAUGAUGGGUAACUCUGGGACCUAGGGCUCCUGCCACAGGAGCAGGAGGGGGACCAGGGAGCAUGCAGGUCAUGGUGGUGGGCACUGUCUGCCCAACCUGCUGCUGGGUGAGCAGGAUUGGGGGUGCACCCUAGGUGUCACCCCACUUUCUGGUGAUACACACCCCUAACCCCAAUGACAUGAGAUGAUGGGAUCCAAGGCAGAUUUAUUGCCAUUCUUCCUUUUUUCAUGGGUCCAGUUUUAAUUGGCAUCCAUGCAGAAAAGCCUUUGGCUCCUGGGUCGUGAGUACCAUUGUUAAUAAAGGGGUGAGUAGCUUGCCGCAGCACCAUUGCAUAUUUCUAUAUUAUAAAUGCCAUCAAUUCCCCCAGUAUGAUGUCUCAGCCGCUUAAAAUGCAGAGGCUCGCCUUCUGUGAACUUGGGCUGUGAUGGGCUAGUUAGCCCUGGAAGGAGCAGUGCCAUGGUCUUAUCAGGAAACCUGUACCCUGGGUCCUGGCUCUCCACUGCCCUAUUCCCCUCAUGUCCUUAUACAUGUCACUCAUGGGGUCUAUCUUGAGGAUGCUGAUUCCAUGGGGUGGGUGAAAGGGACUCAGGAAGUUCUUUCUGCUUUUAGGUAUCUCCCAGUUUGAGAAUCUGUCAGUUUGAGAUCCCAUUGUUUAGACUGUCUCAGGCAAUACAGCAAUAUCCAGAGGUGAAAAUUUUGGAUUAUGAGAGCUGUGAUCUCAUCAGUGGAUGAAUCCAUUUGAAGGAUUAAUGAUUUGGAUGGACUACUGGUUGAUAACUAUAGGCAAGUGGGGCAUGGCUGGAGGAAGUAAGUCACUGGAGAUGUGCUUUUAGGGACUGUCUCUUGUCCCUGGCUCCUCUCCUUUUUCUCUCUCUGCUUCCUGGUUGCCAUGAGAUGUGCAGCUUUCUUCUGCCAUGUCCUUCUGCCAUGAUGGUUCUGCCUUGGAGCCAACUGACCAUGGACUGAACUUCUGAAACCCUGAACCAAAAUAACUUUCUUCUCUAAAUUUUUCUUGUCAGGUAUUUUGGUAACAGCAUUGAAGAUCUGACUAGCACAAAGACCAGUUAAUUUGAGUCCUGAAGUUAUUCCAACCUGCUGUAUUUUUACAUUAAAAGGCAAAUAUCUUAGGAACAUCAGAGGACAUUAAUUUACUUAACAUAUUUACUGAGCACCUAUUAUGCUUCAGGAGGUGGGAACAUGGCAGUGAACAAACAAAAUCCCUGCCCUCAUGCAGCUUCAAAUUGAGGAAGUUAAACAAUGAACAAAUAAAUAUGUAAAAUGUGCAGUGUGUCAGAUGGCAUAAAUACUAUGUGAAAUAAAGACUAUGGGAGGAGGUUGGGGAGUGUAGUAGUGGGAGGAUUUAUGGAAUUGUUUACAGCUAGAGAAGUUGGUCAAGAACAGAUCCUUGGAAGAUUCUUUCUGGGGCCAAACAGAUGACUUGGAGAGGGUAGAUUUAAGGCUACCUCUCCAUAUAUGGUGGCUUCCUCUUUCCUUGGGCAGGUGCCAGGGGAAAAGAGAUCUCAGGAAGAAAUCUUAUUUCUUUCCAGCCACUUUUGUUUCCUUGUGAAGCUGAGUGAUGGUUGGGGCUGUCACAUCUCUUGGCCUCUUAUCAGCUCCAAGUUUAUGAAAAACCAUCACAUGUUCCUCACUUCUGUGUGUUCCUGGGGAUUCUUACUGUCCUGUUUCAGGUUCCUGGGCUUGACUUUGAGCAGACUGUGUGUGGCCACUGUUGGUUCUGAUAUGAAAGUCAUUGCCUCUUCAGAGAGCCCUAAAAAUACCAUCCCCCAGAAAACAUUAACGAAUGUAUUAGUUUUCCAGGGCUGCCAUAACAGAGUGCCACAAAAUGGAUGACUUCACAGCAGAAAUUCAUUUCUCACAGUUUGGAGACUGGAAGUUCAAGGUCAAGAACUCGUGGUUGCAAUGUGCCUGAUCAUCUGACGCUUCCUGCUCUUGAAUGACCUCUUCUCAGCCUCCAAGAAUGUCCAAGUCUUCAUCCAACAACUUUGCUGGGCUAAUGUGCCAAGGGAGCUUCAGGCACCCAGGAAGGAUCUGGGGCGCUCCAGGGUCAUUCUUGACAAGUGAGGGCUGAGGACUCUCCUGUGUACCAGACUCUCCACUCAUGAAGCCAUGAAGGUGACAGUGGUG